AAAACAGUUCCGGUGCCUGAACUGUCCAGGAGUGUCAGGAACAUAACCAUAUGCAGGACAGUUGAGUUCAGGUUCUGAGGUUCAGCUCCAUCCAACAGGACAUUCUCAUAAUGGAUACAGAACUUUCUAAAACUGAUGACAACUGUGGCGAUCACUCCACUACUGAACAGGGCAUGGAAAAAACACAGCAGUCCUUGGAACCCUGUGAGAAACCUGACGAUAAACAGUCAAAAUCUAAGCAGGUGGGCAUACUUUUUUUUUUUUAAAC
Molecule: long non-coding RNA, 268 nt
Filed under: Sinocyclocheilus grahami
Lineage: Eukaryota; Metazoa; Chordata; Actinopteri; Cypriniformes; Cyprinidae
Description: lncRNA (ENSSGRG00000007839.1)
Source: RNAcentral